AGCGGCGCGGCGGCGCGAGGAAAGGGCGUAGCUCUGUAGUUAGCGCCCUAUCACCGAGACUAGAGAUAGCAGUAACCUGAGUCGGCUACUAAGGGAUGUAAAAGGAUUGAAAAGAACAAUGUUGUAAUAAUCAUGUUUAAUCGGAUUGUAUUUGGGAGCUGAAAGAGUAAAUGAGAAUUAAAAAUGAAAUAUGUAAAAUGUAUGUGAGUUGAAUGCUUGUAAUAGCGUAAUAGCAUAGAUGUAUUUAUGUUUUCGAUACCUUCCUUAUGCAAUAUUUGUUAUAUGCUGUUCCUGAUUGGAACCUCGCGCAUUGUAUGGAUUGUGACGCCUUGGACGUGUUAAGGAUUUUAUAGGUUGGCGAAUUUCGUAAAGUUGGUUGGAGUCUUGAAGAGUUGAUCGCAGAAGUUUUUGAAGAAAAGAUUCAAAUUGAAGAAAUAAGACUCAUUCGGAAAGCUCGA
Molecule: long non-coding RNA, 458 nt
Filed under: Ananas comosus (pineapple)
Lineage: Eukaryota; Viridiplantae; Streptophyta; Magnoliopsida; Poales; Bromeliaceae
Description: long non-coding RNA (ACOM_LNC041687)
Source: RNAcentral